UCUACGGGUGGCAGCAGUGGGGAAUAUUGCACAAUGGGGGAAACCCUGAUGCAGCGACGCCGCGUGAAGGAUGAAGUAUUUCGGUAUGUAAACUUCUAUCAGCAGGGAAGAAAAUGACGGUACCUGACUAAGAAGCCCCGGCUAACUACGUGCCAGCAGCCGCGGUAAUACGUAGGGGGCAAGCGUUAUCCGGAUUUACUGGGUGUAAAGGGAGCGUAGGCGGUGAUGCAAGGCAGAAGUGAAAGCCCGCAGCUCAACCGCGGGACUGCAUUUGAAACUGUAAGACUAGAUUGCAGGAGAGGUAGGUGGAAUUCCUAGUGUAGCGGUGAAAUGCGUAGAUAUUAGGAGGAACACCAGUGGCGAAGGCGGCUUACUGGACUGUAAAUGACGCUGAGGCUCGAAAGCGUGGGGAGCAAACAGGAUUAGAUACCCCAGUAGUC
RNAcentral lists this ribosomal RNA (440 nucleotides) under uncultured bacterium. Its description in RNAcentral is "partial 16S ribosomal RNA". It matches the Rfam family "Bacterial small subunit ribosomal RNA", at positions 338 to 795 of the family's 1533-position model. The record is from RNAcentral.